UUCAUGGUCGAGUGGUAAAGACACUUCCCUCUCGCCAUGGAGUCCUGGGUUCGAUCCCUGGUCGAGAAU
This 69-nucleotide transfer RNA is filed under the name Rhamnusium bicolor. RNAcentral describes it as "tRNA-OTHER". Lineage: Eukaryota; Metazoa; Arthropoda; Insecta; Coleoptera; Cerambycidae. The record is from RNAcentral.